ACUUUGUAUAUAUAGAUCUAUAGGUGUUACUGCUGUCUGUCUCCACUCUGGCAUUCGCUUGUGUGUGUGUUAAAGAAGUAGGAGCUGUGGCUUUGAGAUAGAUCUGUAGGUGUUACUGCUGUCUGUCUUUCUGGCACUCGGCUGAGACCGACACGUACAGGCUUACGGUCACAUUCCUCAUAGCUCUCCCACAGGGCCAGCGACAACGGGCUUCCAAUUUGCCAGUGACAACGACAAUAAAUCUGACGAGUCCGCUGUCGUUAAGAUGUAGAACCCGUCACCCCCACAACUCUUCGGCAAAGUAGCAAACCUUUGGAGAAUCGCGUACAAAGCUAUUGCAAGGCCAGUGUGAAAAGAGAAUUUUCACGCCGUCACACAGCUAAGCGAAAAAGAAUUCUUUUCACCUGUCCACCCAUCGAAGAAGGAACCAGCGUUGUCGCGGUUAGAUGUCACUGUGAGAUCCAUUGUCUUCGGGAUCUUAAAAACCUUUCUCGCUCGUAUCGAACUGGAUAUAUUCAAGGGACUGAGGAAUCGAAACGGGGCUUUUCUGAAUGUUGUGGAUUUGAAUAGAGCUAAGUAGGGUCGCUGGCUGAAUGCGUUUUGGGGUCUUUGGAGUCGCGGAUUGUUAUACCGAGGUAGGGAGAGCAAGACUACGUAGGUACAGUUGGGUAUACAAGCCGCGUGUUCUUUCAUCUGAGUGACAUUAUAGAUUUGAACCACGAUAUCAUGGAGGGCAAAAUAACUCGGGAAUAAUAAAGGUUGAUAAUCAAUACAUAGCGGAAACUUGCUGUAGGUGGCGAAGGGCACACUGCAUUAUUAACAUGUACGGCGCAAAGGUUGCACAUUGAUGUUCAGAGGGGACUUGUGCUGGUUUCUUUUUAAGUUUUUAUUUCUGAGAUCGUACGAGAAAAGACGAGUUUUUUUGUUUCUGAGAUCGUACGAGAAAGGACUUGUUUUUUUAAAAUAUUUUAUUUAUGAGAACAUGCGAGAAAGGACUUGUGCUGCUGCUGUUUCUAUUUCAGAGAUCGUUCCCUGCUUGCUUUCGACAUGUUCCAAUGUAAUAUAGGAUAACGGAUUCAAUAUUUUUGUGCCUUAUCAGAGCGGCGGAGGAGCAAAAAAUCGGAGUCACGAGGAAGCAAUACCUGGGUGUCUUUUUGUGGUGUCAACGAGGUUGGCUAAAGCAAACAGAUUAAGCAGGAGCUGGUGAAUACAGACAGGGCAGUGUUGUUACAAGGACAUUGUCUGAGUGUCUGGGCAAGACUGGGGCUAGGAGAGGCACAGUCGGGAAGGGAGGAAUGGGAGCCUCCCAGGAACUUUCUGCAUGACAGACAACAAGGCACUGGCAUAUUCCUCGGCGCCUGGCAUUUUUGUCCGAGAUACGAAGGGCGGAGGGAACGUAGUUGGUGUAUACGCAAAUACACUGGCGUAGUGGAGUCAAGAACAGACGAACAUACAGAUAGACACAUCCGAGAGAGAGAGAGAAAGAGAGAGAGAGAGAGAGAGA
Aplysia californica (California sea hare) is the source of this 1504-nucleotide long non-coding RNA. RefSeq lists it as uncharacterized. NCBI's taxonomy places the organism in Eukaryota, Metazoa, Mollusca, Gastropoda, Aplysiida, Aplysiidae. The transcript has 2 exons. The record is from RefSeq and is a predicted model, not a curated record.